Molecule: long non-coding RNA, 310 nt
Organism: Telopea speciosissima
Lineage: Eukaryota; Viridiplantae; Streptophyta; Magnoliopsida; Proteales; Proteaceae
Exons: 2
Source: RefSeq, a predicted model, not a curated record
UGACAUUUCCUUCUUUCACCAUUGACUCACGAAAAAAUGGCAAUCCCCCUUGUUUGGCAACCGAGAGGGGUGUGUCCUUUGGAGAGGUUUCAUAAACCACUCUAUCACCAUUCCACUGGGCUAUUGGUGGUAGGGUUGUGUCAUCUAUUGUCUUCUUCACUAGUGUAUUUGUAGAACAAGCAAUAUUAGCUUGUGUACAAAAUGAAUGCAGGUGAGAAGCCAAUUUAUUUUUCUCAAUAAGUUUCAUAAACACUGCUGACUGAUAGAGGCUUAAUGGAGAAGCCUUUGCAGCUAACCAAUGAGGAGGGUG